Entelurus aequoreus (snake pipefish) is the source of this 399-nucleotide long non-coding RNA. RefSeq lists it as uncharacterized. The transcript has 3 exons. NCBI's taxonomy places the organism in Eukaryota, Metazoa, Chordata, Actinopteri, Syngnathiformes, Syngnathidae. The record is from RefSeq and is a predicted model, not a curated record.
GGAAGCUUCAACGAUAGUUUGUGUCUUCACUCUCCUUAAACAUUGCCUUUUCCAGUGUUGAAUCGAAAGGAGGGACAAGGCAAGAAGGCAGUCCGUGGGCAAGCCAGUGGUCGGGGGCUGGGGCGAAGCAACGUGGUCCGUGUCCAAGCAAGUCGAGGAUCAGGGGAGGCAAUCCGGAAAGGAGUCGAGGCACACAGCUCGAUCACAGGAGAACACGGGAAGACAACAGGAACAUCAGACACAGAAACAAGGAAGUCACAGGAGGAGAGGCAGACACGGGGUGCUUACUAAGUCCCAGGUGUGCGGAUUGCUGAUCGCCCGCAGCCUUGCCGGCGUGUGGGCGCGAUGCGGCCAGCGCGAGCAGGAGCGUGUUCUGGCGUGCUGCCAACGGAGGUGCUG